AGCUUUGCGCAGUGGCGAUAUCGUAACCAAUGAGGUUUUACCGAGGUGCGAUUAUUGCUAGUUGAAAAAAAAACGUAUCUUAUCAUAGAAAUAUAAUUCAAUGGAAAACCAACCUUUCGUUUUUGAGUAGUGACAUUUCAA
This is a small nuclear RNA of Toxorhynchites rutilus septentrionalis, 141 nucleotides long. RefSeq annotates it as U4 spliceosomal RNA. Lineage: Eukaryota; Metazoa; Arthropoda; Insecta; Diptera; Culicidae. The transcript has a single exon. The record is from RefSeq and is a predicted model, not a curated record.